UACGAGGGGGGCAAGCGUUGUUCGGAAUUAUUGGGCGUAAAGGGCGCGUAGGCGGUGCGGUAAGUCACCUGUGAAAACUCUGGGCUCAACUCAGAGCCUGCAGGCGAAACUGCCGUGCUUGAGUGUGGGAGAGGUGCGUGGAAUUCCAGGUGUAGCAGUGAAAUGCGUAGAGAUCUGGAGGAACACCGAUGGCGAAGGCAGCCCCCCUGGGCUAACACUGACGCUCAUGCACGAAAGCGUGGGGAGCAAACAGG
Molecule: ribosomal RNA, 254 nt
Filed under: uncultured bacterium
Lineage: Bacteria
Description: partial 16S ribosomal RNA
Rfam family: Bacterial small subunit ribosomal RNA
Source: RNAcentral